CUCAGCUCUGGUUCUGGUGCCAGGUCCUUGUGAACCGUCCCAGUCCAGGUUCUGGUGCCAGGCCCCUCUCUCAGCUCUGGUUCUGGUGCCAGGUCCCUGUGAACCGUCCCAGUCCAGGUUCUGGUGCCAGGCCCCUCUCUCAGCUCUGGUUCUGGUGCCAGGUCCCUGUGAACCGUCCCAGUCCAGGUUCUGGUGCCAGGCCCCUCUCUCAGCUCUGGUUCUGGUGCCAGGUCCCUGUGAACCGUCCCAGUCCAGGUUCUGGUGCCAGGCCCCUCUCUCAGCUCUGGUUCUGGUGCCAGGUCCUUCUGAACCG
Gopherus flavomarginatus (Mexican gopher tortoise) is the source of this 313-nucleotide long non-coding RNA. RefSeq lists it as uncharacterized. NCBI's taxonomy places the organism in Eukaryota, Metazoa, Chordata, Testudines, Testudinidae. The record is from RefSeq and is a predicted model, not a curated record. The transcript has 3 exons.